GGGGGCAACCCUGGCGGCGAGCGGCGAACGGGUGAGUAACAUAUCGGAACGUACCCCGUCGUGGGGGAUAACGCAGCGAAAGCUGUGCUAAUACCGCAUACGACCUGAGGGUGAAAGCGGGGGACCGUAAGGCCUCGCGCGAUGGGAGCGGCCGAUAUCGGAUUAUCUUGUUGGUGAGGUAAAGGCUCACCAAGGCGACGAUCCGUAGCUGGUCUGAGAGGACGACCAGCCACACUGGAACUGAGACACGGUCCAGACUCCUACGGGAGGCAGCAGUGGGGAAUUUUGGACAAUGGGGGCAACCCUGAUCCAGCCAUUCCGCGUGAGUGAAGAAGGCCUUCGGGUUGUAAAGCUCUUUCAGCAGGAACGAAACGGUGGCCCCUAAUACGGGCUACUAAUGACGGUACCUGAAGAAGAAGCACCGGCUAACUACGUGCCAGCAGCCGCGGUAAUACGUAGGGUGCGAGCGUUAAUCGGAAUUACUGGGCGUAAAGCGUGCGCAGGCGGUUCUAUAAGACAGAUGUGAAAUCCCCGGGCUUAACCUGGGAACUGCGUUUGUGACUGUAGGACUCGAGUGUGGCAGAGGGGGGUGGAAUUCCACGUGUAGCAGUGAAAUGCGUAGAGAUGUGGAGGAACACCGAUGGCGAAGGCAGCCCCCUGGGUCAACACUGACGCUCAUGCACGAAAGCGUGGGGAGCAAACAGGAUUAGAUACCCUGGUAGUCCACGCCCUAAACGAUGCGAACUAGGUGUUGGGGAAGGAGACUUUCUUAGUACCGCAGCUAACGCGUGAAGUUCGCCGCCUGGGGAGUACGGUCGCAAGAUUAAAACUCAAAGGAAUUGACGGGGACCCGCACAAGCGGUGGAUGAUGUGGAUUAAUUCGAUGCAACGCGAAAAACCUUACCUACCCUUGACAUGUCAGGAAUCCUGCUGAGAGGUGGGAGUGCCCGAAAGGGAACCUGAACACAGGUGCUGCAUGGCUGUCGUCAGCUCGUGUCGUGAGAUGUUGGGUUAAGUCCCGCAACGAGCGCAACCCUUGUCAUUAAUUGCCAUCAUUCAGUUGGGCACUUUAAUGAGACUGCCGGUGACAAACCGGAGGAAGGUGGGGAUGACGUCAAGUCCUCAUGGCCCUUAUGGGUAGGGCUUCACACGUCAUACAAUGGUCGGUACAGAGGGUCGCCAACCCGCGAGGGGGAGCCAAUCCCACAAAGCCGAUCGUAGUCCGGAUCGCAGUCUGCAACUCGACUGCGUGAAGUCGGAUUCGCUAGUAAUGGCGCAUCAGCUACGGCGCCGUGAAUACGUUCCCGGGCCUUGUACGCGCCGCCCGUCACAUCAUGAAAGCCGUCUGCACCCAAAGUUGCUGAGCCAACCCUCACGGGAGGCAAGCACCUAAGGUGUGG
This 1400-nucleotide ribosomal RNA is filed under the name metagenome. Its description in RNAcentral is "bacterial SSU rRNA". It matches the Rfam family "Bacterial small subunit ribosomal RNA". The record is from RNAcentral.